Molecule: transfer RNA, 59 nt
Filed under: Escherichia coli
Lineage: Bacteria; Pseudomonadati; Pseudomonadota; Gammaproteobacteria; Enterobacterales; Enterobacteriaceae
Also listed under: 1 other name
Description: tRNA-Arg
Rfam family: tRNA
About the family: Transfer RNA (tRNA) molecules are approximately 80 nucleotides in length. Their secondary structure includes four short double-helical elements and three loops (D, anti-codon, and T loops). Further hydrogen bonds mediate the characteristic L-shaped molecular structure. tRNAs have two regions of fundamental functional importance: the anti-codon, which is responsible for specific mRNA codon recognition, and the 3' end, to which the tRNAs corresponding amino acid is attached (by aminoacyl-tRNA synthetases). tRNAs cope with the degeneracy of the genetic code in two manners: having more than one tRNA (with a specific anti-codon) for a particular amino acid; and 'wobble' base-pairing, i.e. permitting non-standard base-pairing at the 3rd anti-codon position.
Source: RNAcentral
AGCUCAGCCGGACAGAGCAAUUGCCUUCUAAGCAAUCGGUCACUGGUUCGAACCCAGUA